AGUGAACGCUGGCGGUAGGCCUAACACAUGCAAGUCGAACGGCAGCACAGUAAGAGCUUGCUCUUACGGGUGGCGAGUGGCGGACGGGUGAGGAAUACAUCGGAAUCUACUUUUUCGUGGGGGAUAACGUAGGGAAACUUACGCUAAUACCGCAUACGACCUACGGGUGAAAGCAGGGGAUCUUCGGACCUUGCGCGAUUGAAUGAGCCGAUGUCGGAUUAGCUAGUUGGCGGGGUAAAGGCCCACCAAGGCGACGAUCCGUAGCUGGUCUGAGAGGAUGAUCAGCCACACUGGAACUGAGACACGGUCCAGACUCCUGCGGGAGGCAGCAGUGGGGAAUAUUGGACAAUGGGCGAAAGCCUGAUCCAGCCAUACCGCGUGGGUGAAGAAGGCCUUCGGGUUGUAAAGCCCUUUUGUUGGGAAAGAAAAGCAGCAGGUUAAUACCCCGCUGUUCUGACGGUACCCAAAGAAUAAGCAACGGCUAACUUCGUG
This 492-nucleotide ribosomal RNA is filed under the name uncultured bacterium. RNAcentral's name for it is "partial 16S ribosomal RNA". It matches the Rfam family "Bacterial small subunit ribosomal RNA", at positions 29 to 507 of the family's 1533-position model. The record is from RNAcentral.